UACGUAGGGUGCGAGCGUUAAUCGGAAUACUGGGCGUAAAGCGUGCGCAGGCGGCGCGUUAAGACAGGUGUGAAAGCCCCGAGCUUAACUUGGGAAUUGCGCUUGUGACUGGCGUGCUGGAGUGUGGCAGAGGGGAGGUGGAAUUCCGACGUGUAGCAGUGAAAUGCGUAGAGAUGAUGGAGGAACACCGAUGGCGAAGGC
RNAcentral lists this ribosomal RNA (201 nucleotides) under uncultured bacterium. RNAcentral describes it as "partial 16S ribosomal RNA". It matches the Rfam family "Bacterial small subunit ribosomal RNA", at positions 524 to 722 of the family's 1533-position model. The record is from RNAcentral.